Molecule: long non-coding RNA, 304 nt
Organism: Bufo gargarizans (Asiatic toad)
Lineage: Eukaryota; Metazoa; Chordata; Amphibia; Anura; Bufonidae
Exons: 3
Source: RefSeq, a predicted model, not a curated record
AAUCUUUUCACAUUGGCUUUUCUUUCGUUUUUAAUGUCUACCUCUUACAAAUGACACACUGCUACAUCAAGUGUUGCUAGUCCAUAAAAUUAACUGCCCUUCUAGAACAGAAACACAUUAACAGUGCCAAGCUGUGCUGUGUCCUAGCAGCAUAUAGUGCUGGAUCUCCCGAGUGGUGGCACCAUCCACGGCAGGAGAGAGAUGGAGGAAACCCAGAAUAACCCACACAGGAAGAACAUACACAUUCCGUGCAGAUGGUGUCUUCAUUCGAAUUGGACCACAGGACCGCAGUGAUAUAAGGCAG